GGCCGGGUAGCUCAGUUGGUUAGAGAGUGAUGCUUGUAACACCAGGAUCGCCGGUUCAAUCCCCGCCUGGGCCA
This is a non-coding RNA of Rhinolophus ferrumequinum (greater horseshoe bat), 74 nucleotides long. The record is from the annotation of a RefSeq genome assembly. Lineage: Eukaryota; Metazoa; Chordata; Mammalia; Chiroptera; Rhinolophidae.